RNAcentral lists this long non-coding RNA (479 nucleotides) under Podarcis muralis (Common wall lizard). Its description in RNAcentral is "lncRNA (ENSPMRG00000009201.1)". Lineage: Eukaryota; Metazoa; Chordata; Lepidosauria; Squamata; Lacertidae. The record is from RNAcentral.
GGCAGUUACUAUCUCCUAGCAUAACCUUUCCUCACAGGUUUAUGCUGGAGGCCGUAUGGGAGUGGUGGAGGCACUGUUGGAAAUGCAGUCGUAAGGAUCAUUCUGUUCGUAAUUUCAAGUAUGAAAAUCAAAAGAAGACCCACGGAAUAUGGGGGACCAGGGACCUGAUGCAGCACCCCGCCUUUUCAGAUGUCACUGGGAAGGUCAGCCUUCCCAAAGAAAAGUUCCAACCGCCUGUGGGAUGGCAGUGGGAUGGCGAGUGGGUCGUGGAGCCCCAGAGAAGAGUGGUUCCCCUGCCCCUCCAAAGGAAGAGAUUUUGUGCCCCCAAGGCUGGCUCUUUGUGGAAGACUGGAAAGUGGAGGAGAAUCGUGCUGUGGACGAUGCUGGCAAGUUUUCCAUUUGUGUUUGUCUUGGCCCUGGGGCCACUCCUGAGAACAAUGACUGCAUAUCUUCUGGGGUCGUUGCCUGGAGCCUCAUGA